This 775-nucleotide ribosomal RNA is filed under the name uncultured Neocallimastigales. Its description in RNAcentral is "partial large subunit ribosomal RNA". It matches the Rfam family "Eukaryotic large subunit ribosomal RNA", at positions 20 to 649 of the family's 3401-position model. The record is from RNAcentral. Lineage: Eukaryota; Fungi; Neocallimastigomycota; Neocallimastigomycetes; Neocallimastigales.
UACUAGAGUAGCACUCGCAUAUCAAUAAGCGGAGGAAAAGAAACUAACAAGGAUUCCCCUAGUAACGGCGAGUGAAGCGGGAAGAGCUCAAAUUCGAAAUCUUAAAGGGUUUCCCUUUACGAAUUGUAGUUUAAAGAAGUGUUUUCUGUUGAGGUUUUGGUAAAAGUUCUUUGGAAUAGGACAUCAUAGAGGGUGAGAAUCCCGUAUUUGACCUUUACUUUCAACUUUGUGAUACACUUUCAAAGAGUCGGAUUGUUUGGGAAUGCAGUCCAAAAUGGGUGGUAAAUUUCAUCUAAAGCUAAAUAUUGGCGAGAGACCGAUAGCGAACAAGUACCGUGAGGGAAAGAUGAAAAGAACUUUGAAAAGAGAGUCAAACAGUACGUGAAAUUGUCAAAAGGGAAGCGUUUGACACCAGUGUUGUUUUUCUGAAAAUCAAUUAGAGAACUGUUUAUGCUAAGUUGUUUAGACUUUAUCAGCUAAUCUGUUUAGUUUUGAGCUUUUCUUUAAUGCACUUUUCAGUUAACAAGUCAACAUCAAUUUCUUUUGCUGUAAAAAAGCUUGAGGAAGGUGGCUUGAGAUUCGUCUUAAGUGUUUAUAGCCUCUUGCCUAUGCAGUCGGAGAGAUUGAGGUCUGCAGCGUAGAUCCUUCGGGGCUAAAUGCAUUUGUGCUAAGUUAUAGCAUUUUAUAGACAACUUGUUGACUAUGAUUUGUCUUGUAGCUUACUCGCUUAUGUUAUUUUACCUACGCUUAGGAUGUUGAGUAGCGACAUACGCAC